Molecule: ribosomal RNA, 441 nt
Filed under: uncultured bacterium
Lineage: Bacteria
Description: bacterial SSU rRNA
Rfam family: Bacterial small subunit ribosomal RNA
Source: RNAcentral
UGGGGAAUCUUGCGCAAUGGCCGAAAGGCUGACGCAGCGACGCCGCGUGUGGGAGGACGCCCUUCGGGGUGUAAACCACUGUUGCCCGGGACGAACAUCCCUUUUCGAGGGGACUGACGGUACCGGGUGAGGAAGCACCGGCUAACUCCGUGCCAGCAGCCGCGGUAAUACGGAGGGUGCGAGCGUUGUCCGGAAUCACUGGGCGUAAAGGGCGCGUAGGUGGCGCGGCAAGUCAGCGGUGAAAGCCCGAGGCUCAACUUCGGGUCGGCCGAUGAUACUGCUGCGCUUGAGCACUGUAGAGGCAGGUGGAAUUCCGGGUGUAGCGGUGGAAUGCGUAGAGAUCCGGAAGAACACCGGUGGCGAAGGCGGCCUGCUGGGCAGUUGCUGACACUGAUGCGCGACAGCGUGGGGAGCAAACAGGAUUAGAUACCCCCGUAGUCC